Molecule: ribosomal RNA, 856 nt
Filed under: bacterium
Lineage: Bacteria
Description: partial 23S ribosomal RNA
Rfam family: Bacterial large subunit ribosomal RNA
Source: RNAcentral
GGCCAAGAUACCAAGGGCACACGGUGGAUGCCUUGGCGCUAGAAGUCGAUGAAGGACGUGGUCAGCUGCGAUAAGCCUCGGGUAGGUGCGACAACCUGUGAUCCGGGGAUUUCCGAAUGGGGAAACCCGGCGGGAUUAAUCUCCCGUCACCCUUAUUCCAAGUGGAGCAAUCCUAUUAAGAUAAGGGAGAUAAGCCUGCGAACUGAAACAUCUAAGUAGCAGGAGAAAAGAAAGAAAACUCGAUUCCCUUAGUAGUGGCGAGCGAAACGGGAAUAGCCCAAACCGUAGGUCUUCGGAUCUGCGGGGUUGUAGGACCGAGCAUAACGUUCAAUUAGGGUUAGUAGAACGAUCUGGAAAGGUCGGCCAUAGAAGGUGACAGCCCUGUAUGCGAAAACCCGAACGAACCGGCUCGGCACCUGAGUAGCACGGGACACGUGAAACCCUGUGUGAAUCUGCGGGGGCCAUCCCGCAAGGCUAAAUACUCUCUAGCGACCGAUAGUGAACUAGUACCGUGAGGGAAAGGUGAAAAGUACCCCGGCGAGGGGAGUGAAAUAGAACCUGAAACCGUGUGCUUACAAACCGUUCGAGGGCUAUGCAUGAAUCAGCCUGAGAGCGUGCCUCUUGUAUAAUGAGCCAGCGAGUUAAGGUGACCGGCAAGGUUAAGGGGUUACACCCGGAGCCGCAGCGAAAGCGAGUCUGAAUAGGGCGUAUAGUCGGUUGCUUUAGACCCGAAACUAGGUGAGCUACCCAUGGGCAGGGUGAAGCGAGGGUAAAACCUCGUGGAGGUCCGAACUAUUGAGCGUUGAAAAGCUCCUGGAUGACCUGUGGGUAGGGGUGAAAAGCCAAUCGAACCUAG